UGGCAAGAUGGUCGAGUGGUCUAAGACGUGACGUUCAGGUCGUCAUCUCUCCGGAGGCGUGGGUUCAAACCCCACUCUUGUCAA
RNAcentral lists this transfer RNA (84 nucleotides) under Trypanosoma equiperdum. RNAcentral's name for it is "Leu transfer RNA (cag)". It matches the Rfam family "tRNA". Rfam says of the family: Transfer RNA (tRNA) molecules are approximately 80 nucleotides in length. Their secondary structure includes four short double-helical elements and three loops (D, anti-codon, and T loops). The record is from RNAcentral. Lineage: Eukaryota; Euglenozoa; Kinetoplastea; Trypanosomatida; Trypanosomatidae. RNAcentral also lists the same sequence under 1 other name.